UACGUAGGCGGCCAUAUAAGUCAGAAGUGAAAGGCUACGGCUUAACCGUAGUAAGCUUUUGAAACUGUAUGGCUUGAGUGCAGGAGAGGAAAGCGGAAUUCCUAGUGUAGCGGUGAAAUGCGUAGAUAUUAGGAAGAACACCAGUAGCGAAGGCGGCUUUCUGGACUGAAACUGACGCUGAGGUACGAAAGCGUGGGGAGCAAACAGGAUUAGAUACCCUGGUAGUC
This 227-nucleotide ribosomal RNA is filed under the name uncultured bacterium. RNAcentral describes it as "partial 16S ribosomal RNA". It matches the Rfam family "Bacterial small subunit ribosomal RNA", at positions 568 to 795 of the family's 1533-position model. The record is from RNAcentral.